GUUCGUUGGUGCGGCUGGCAAGAAUAGUCAGUCGAUGGCGCGAGGUGGCGCGUGGAUGGCGGCGGCGGCGGCGGCGGCGGUGUGGUGGAUGGCGGCGGGGGCGGGGGCAGUGUGGCUGGAGAUUGCGCCGUCGGGGGCCAAGUGCGUGUCGGAGGAGAUCCAGUCCAACGUCGUCGUCAUCGGCGACUACUCCGUCCUGUACGAGCACCACCACGCCCACCCAACCGUCGCCGUCAAGGUUACAUCCCCUUUUGGAGACAUUGUGCAUAAGAAAGAAAAUGUUUCAGUGGACCAGUUUGCAUUUACCACAGCAGAAGCUGGAAACUACCUGGCUUGCUUUUGGGUUGAUGGAGAGGACAGAGGGUUAGUGGUGAAACUAAAUCUUGACUGGAAAAUUGGGAUUGCUGCUAAAGACUGGGAUUCUGUUGCUAAAAAGGAAAAGAUUGAGGGAGUUGAGCUAGAGUUACUCAAGCUUGAAAUAGCUGUCCAAUCAAUCCAUGAAAACCUGCUUCUGCUCAAAUCCAAAGAAGCUAACAUGAGAGAUGUCAGUGAGAAGACAAAUGCUAGGGUCACGUGGUUGAGCGUGCUGUCUCUUAGCGUUUGCGUCGCAGUCUCUGUUUUGCAGCUGUGGCAUCUACAAGAGUACUUCCGUAAGAAGAAGCUCAUCUAAGUGACAUUCGUAAUGAAGCCCUCUGGAAUAAGCGUAUUGUUGUGUUUCAUUUUGUGCAUAUGAGAUGUGAUACUUUUGCCAUCACGAGUGAAGCAGUUUUGUAAAUAAACUGCAUGCAAAGCAGUAUUUUACUUCCAUGGACAGAUCAACGUUAUUUCCACUGUGCCAGCUUCAUGAGGCGGCUGACCCUCUUGCCACAGCCACAAGAAAAUCUCUGUAAUCACUCUGAGGCAAGCUUUCGCGGAUGAA
Molecule: RNA transcript, 919 nt
Organism: Panicum virgatum (switchgrass)
Lineage: Eukaryota; Viridiplantae; Streptophyta; Magnoliopsida; Poales; Poaceae
Gene name: transmembrane emp24 domain-containing protein p24delta3-like
Exons: 5
Source: RefSeq, a predicted model, not a curated record